This 230-nucleotide ribosomal RNA is filed under the name uncultured bacterium. Its description in RNAcentral is "partial 16S ribosomal RNA". It matches the Rfam family "Bacterial small subunit ribosomal RNA", at positions 562 to 791 of the family's 1533-position model. The record is from RNAcentral.
AAAGCGUGCGCAGGCGGUUUUGUAAGUCUGACGUGAAAUCCCCGGGCUCAACCUGGGAAUUGCGUUGGAGACUGCAAGGCUGGAGUCUGGCAGAGGGGGGUAGAAUUCCACGUGUAGCAGUGAAAUGCGUAGAGAUGUGGAGGAACACCGAUGGCGAAGGCAGCCCCCUGGGUCAAGACUGACGCUCAUGCACGAAAGCGUGGGGAGCAAACAGGAUUAGAUACCCGAGU